GCAUUUGCCUCAUCUCUCCUGUUUAUUUUCAGGAUCAGAUAAUCACUGCAUUACAAUCUAAGCAAAAUGAUCACGUUGCUGUGAAAGCUAUCUAUGAUCCGUAUGUUCUGUAGAGGGAAUUGGAGAUACUGCUCUUCCUUCAUAUCUAAUCUUAAUGAACUCAAAUGAAAUUUCAUCUCCAGGAUCCUGUUUUAUAAAAGGUCCCAUCUACUUGCAAGUUCCGGAGUCUCAUUC
Long non-coding RNA from Nothoprocta perdicaria, 234 nucleotides. RefSeq lists it as uncharacterized. The record is from RefSeq and is a predicted model, not a curated record. Lineage: Eukaryota; Metazoa; Chordata; Aves; Tinamiformes; Tinamidae. The transcript is spliced from 3 exons.